This 73-nucleotide transfer RNA is filed under the name Dallia pectoralis (Alaska blackfish). Its description in RNAcentral is "tRNA-OTHER". The record is from RNAcentral. Lineage: Eukaryota; Metazoa; Chordata; Actinopteri; Esociformes; Umbridae.
GGAGUUGGUAGUUCAGCGGUAGAGUACAUGCUCUGUAUGUAGGAUGUCCUGGGUUCAAUCCCCAGCGUCUCCC